Molecule: ribosomal RNA, 253 nt
Filed under: uncultured bacterium
Lineage: Bacteria
Description: partial 16S ribosomal RNA
Rfam family: Archaeal small subunit ribosomal RNA
Source: RNAcentral
UACCAGCACCCCGAGUGGUCGGGACGAUUAUUGGGCCUAAAGCAUCCGUAGCCGGUUUUACAAGUCCUCCGUUAAAUCCAGCUGCUUAACAGAUGGGCUGCGGAGGAUACUAUAAGACUAGGAGGCAGGAGAGGCAAGCGGUACUCAGUGGGUAGGGGUAAAAUCCGUUGAUCCAUUGAAGACCACCAGUGGCGAAGGCGGCUUGCCAGAAUGCGCUAGACGGUGAGGGAUGAAAGCUGGGGGAGCAAACCGG